RNAcentral lists this ribosomal RNA (697 nucleotides) under uncultured bacterium. Its description in RNAcentral is "bacterial SSU rRNA". It matches the Rfam family "Bacterial small subunit ribosomal RNA", at positions 94 to 820 of the family's 1533-position model. The record is from RNAcentral.
AGUGGCGGACGGGUGAGUAACACGUAAGAAUUUGCCUUUAGGAGGGGGACAACAACUGGAAACGGCUGCUAAUACCCCAUAUGCUUUCGAGUGAAAUGGAUUUUUCCGCCUAAAGAGAAGCUUGCGGCUGAUUAGCUUGUUGGUGAGGUAAUGGCUCACCAAGGCGACGAUCAGUAUCUGGUUUGAGAGGACGAUCAGACACACUGGAACUGAGACACGGUCCAGACUCCUACGGGAGGCAGCAGUGGGGAAUUUUCCGCAAUGGGCGAAAGCCUGACGGAGCAAUACCGCGUGAGGGAUGACGGCCUAUGGGUUGUAAACCUCUUUUUUCAGGGAGGAAUCAAAUGACGUGUACCUGAAGAAUAAGCAUCGGCUAACUCCGUGCCAGCAGCCGCGGUAAGACGGGGGAUGCAAGUGUUAUCCGGAAUCACUGGGCGUAAAGCGUCUGUAGGUGGUCCAAUAAGUCAACUGUUAAAUCUUGGGGCUCAACCUCAAAAUCGCAGUCGAAACUAUUAGACUAGAGUAUAGUAGGGGUAAAGGGAAUUUCCAGUGGAGCGGUGAAAUGCGUAGAUAUUGGAAAGAACACCGAUGGCGAAAGCACUUUACUGGGCUAUUACUAACACUCAGAGACGAAAGCUAGGGUAGCAAAUGGGAUUAGAUACCCCAGUAGUCCUAGCCGUAAACAAUGGAUACUAGA